CGGUGCCCUCCUAUGGUCUUCAGAGCCCUGCAUUAACUCCCCAGCUAAGCAUGAGACCGUUAUACAAACAAAUAUGCCAACUCUUGACUGUACCUACUGCCUACUGACAGCUUUUAUUUUUCCUCUAAAAUACUUUUUUCAUCUUAAAAUUAUGAGAGAUCACAUUUUAAAAAUUAAUUUCCUGCUUCUCUUGAAGAAAGCUGUGGUAUUCCCUUCACUCUAGGCCCUGCUCCUUUACCCCAUAGUACCUCCCUGGGAACGGUGGACACCUAUCAUUUUAGGAGGACGGCCCCCGGACCACCUCAUCAGACUUCCAUGCUCAUAUGUGUCUCCUGGCUGGCACUGGAGGCUUUGGGGACAGACAGCCCACACAUCCUGGCCUUUUAUGGCAGCAGGUAAUGAGAGGCAUAGGGACAUGAAGGAGGGCCUGAUUUCCUCAUGUCUUUUAUUUCUCAUUCUCUUAUGUCCCUCAUCCUCCCUCCCUGCUCCUCACGCCCCACUCCUGUGCCCUAUAUUACUGCAUGUGCCAUUUUAUUCUGGCCCAGCACCAACCUCCCCAUCCGUGCCUCAUUCCUUGGGGGUAGAGCGGUGUGAUGCCUUAGAGUCAGGCCUGGUUUCAGUUUCCUGUCCACUUUCUGCCCUCACACUUUCUUCAGCCUCUUAUACAUAAGAUAGAGGCCAAAAAAAAAAAAAUGCAGGGUAUCUGUGAGGGUUGGCUUGACAUUACCUAGCCCAUUGAUAGCCAAGGACAUUUGCACUUGCCUCAGGGAGGAGAUAAGCGAGUCUAUUGUCUCUCCUGCAGACCUGAGGGAAACCCUGUCUGUCCUUACCCAGGUUCCAGCUUCUGUACCCAGACUGCCCCUCAGAGAAGCCCAUGUGUCUUAGUCACCAUUCUGCUGCUGUGAAGAGACACCAUAAGCAUGGCAACUCUUAUGAGAAAAAACAUUUAAUUGGGGCUGGCUUACAGUUUCAAAAGUUUAGUCCAUUAUCAUCGCGGUAGAGAGUGUGGUGGCAGGUAAGCGUGGUGCUGGAGCAGUAACUAAGAGCUACAUCCUGGUUGGUAGGCUCAGAGUUCUACAUGCAGAUACACAGGCAGCAGGAGGAGAUGCUGGCCUGGGAUGGGCUUUAGAGACCUCAAAGCCCACCCCAGUGACACACUUUCAACAAGACCACACCUCCUAAUCUUUUGCAAGUAGUGCCACUCCCUGAUAAUUAAGCAUUGAAAUAUAGGAAACUAUGGGGGCCUUUGUAAUUCAAACCACACCAUACUUCUGACUCCUUGUUUCUUUGUGGACACAGGUUUUCUCUGUGUAGCCCUGACUAGCCAAGAACUCUGAGACCAGGCUGUCCUUGAACUCAGAAAUAUGUCUGCCUCUGCCUCCUGAAAGUAUUGGGAUUAAAGACAUGCACCACCACCAUCUGGCUGCCUCUGACUGAGAGCAAAAACCUCCUUGCACGACCAGUUUCAUCAGGCUGAUGGAGGUUGGUCAGGUCAGCCCCAGAGCCAUUCCCAGGUGAGGGAAUCUGGACUGUAUGGAGGAAGCAAGCUGAGCAUUGGCUCGCACACACUGCUUCCUGACAGUGGACGUGAUAUGACCAGCUGCUCCCAGCUCCUGCCCUGAUGUCCCCAUGGUACUUUGAACUGUGAACCAAAAUGAACCCCUUCUCCCUUAAGUUGCUUUUGCCAGAGUCCUACCUCAUUUCCAAAUAUAGUUACCCACCUACAGACCCCAGUAGACACCUGACAGCAUGACCUUCUAUAUAGCCAGGCCUAGAGGCACCAACCUGUUAUUCAGAAGCCAGAGGAGGCAAGAGGAUCAGCAUUUCAAAGUCUGCCUGGCCUACUUGGUGACAGCCUUCUCGAAACACAAAGUGAAAAGGGCUCUAAGUAUCUUAGUGGUUGAGCGCUCACCUAACAUGAAGGCUCUUGGUUCUGUCCCUCAGUGCAACACGAAGACACACACACACACACACACACAAAACCAAACCUAUGAAUUGUUUAUUUCUGCAAUUUUCUACUUAUUGUUGGAUUGCUGUUGACCACAGGUCAAUGAAACCACAGUGACAAUGUAAGCACAGGGAACUGGGAAGUAAAAUGUCAGUUAAGAGAAGGCACGGAAGCCACUUGAACAGGUACCAUAGUUAGCCUUGCAUAGACUCUCAAUGUUUCCCUCUGCAGAAUGGGUCCAGCGCACCUGACUCACCAUGCCAGUGAGGAUUACAUGGGUAACAGUACACACGCUGACCUCGGUGCCUGCCAUGUAAGUGCUCAGCAAGGUGGCUGAAGAGGCCAGAAGAGGGUGCCAGAUUCACUGACUCUCCCUACUACCCACCCAGCUCUCCACACACCAGAAUUGUUUCUAGGCUGCACCUUCAGUACAGCAUGUCACCUGAGUGCUCACCAAGCAGGGGUUUUGGCCAUUCUCAGCCAGCCAUCCUGAGGCAGGAGCAACCGCGAUCAGGUGGAGAGAACCUGACACUGUGGCAGGGGCUUUGGGAAGACCCGCAGCUGGCAAAGGACCGUUCCUGCUUGAAGCCUGCACUAUCCUGCUCAAGCCUGUGUGUGCGACCUCCUGUCUUGUCAGCUACCAGACAUCCUGAGCAUCGCUCUGAAGCCAGUCUCUGGGGACUGAGCACCAGCCUACUGCAAGAGACAUGGGCGGCAUUCAGAGCAGCAGUGUAGGCCCUCCAGGGUUUUGUGCACACCGUUCUCCUGGGACUUCGGGUGGACAGGACAAAGCAUAAACGAUUCCUGGCCUGAGGUACAUUGUCCAUGAUGGCCAGCCUCACCAAUCUGCAGUGCCUCAGUUUCCCACACCCCGAGCUUAACCUCCACAUGGCCUUCCUGUCACUGGUGCCUUCUCCUCUUCCAGCUAAUUCUCUUCCAGGUCUUAAGUCCCGUAUCUCAUGGAAGCCCAGCCCUGUACCAUCUGGGUUUAACUCCAAGUAAUCACAUCUGUGAAUCUGCAUUUUUUUUCUUCAGAGCUUAUGCAGCACCAUUGAAGGUGCCUGUGAGGCUCGUGCCCCCCUCAGCUGUACAGGGGCUUGCCCUUGCCCCUGCCUUCUAGCUGGGUUUGAUGCACCGUAGACAGAACAUUCACUAAACAGCGAGGGUUAGGGUGCUGGGAGGAGUGAGUGCCACGGGAAGGAAGAAACUGAGGAAUGACUGCCUUGACGCUUGCCAGGCCUUUCCCCAUUUAGGAAUUGCUCAGCUCUUGUAGGAAUUUCACAGGCUGGUGGAAUCCUCCAGCGGUGGAAUCAGCCCAGUGCCCCAGGCCCUGGCAGUGUCUCCCUCAUCCAAACUCUUCUGCUCUUCCUACAGGUCCCGCAGAGCAGAACUCCACAGCUUCCCUUCCAUUUGAGUGGUCGCAGUGACUUCCUUAUGUUCUUUGUGGUUAGGGAAGUUCUGCAAUCCUGGCUCCUACGUUGCACACGCUGUUUGGCCUCUCACUCUCCUCAGGAAAGACCCUCCCUUUGAAGCAUGUCCUGUUCCACAGCACUGGGGGUGAAGACUACGUGUGGGAAACUUCGAUUUGAGGAGAAGGGAAGACACACUGAGAAACACAACACCCUCCAGUGGGUUCCCACAGAGCGUCUGAGACCAAGAUGGUGCCAAGCAACCGCUGCUCAGGGAAAUGAGAUGGUGACAUUGUAUCUUCCCCCGGCUGGAUGUGAGGACAUCAGUGACAUGCUAGCAGCGGGAGACCUCAUCCUGGUCCUUCACAUCACACAAUAACAAUAGGAUGAUCACCUGUGGUCGGUUAGAAUGAAGACAAGUCUUCAGGGGACAUGGCUGUCACAGCCUAUUGUGAAUGAAGAAGAAAUACAAAGCUUGGGUGUAAGCUGGCUGCUUCCAGCAACACAGAAUGCCUGAAGUAGUUAAGAGCUCUGGAUUUUUCUUAAAAAAAUAGAUUUUAAAAAGCAGGUUGGGGAAAUAGCUUUAUUGAGUUAUAAUUCAUACACAUAAACUGUCCAUACUUAAAGUGGACAGCUUGAUCAAUUUUGACAUGUUUUAUACAAUUGCUCCUCAAUACCCAUGGAGUUUUAAUUCCAAAAUCCUCUGUGGAUACCCAAAUCUAUAGGUGCUCAGGUCCCCUGUAUAAGUGGGGAAAUAUUUACAUAUGAACUAUGAAUAGCCAGCCUCCUGUAUACUUUAAACAAUAAUACAAAUGCUACAGAAACAAUGGUAAACUAUUGUCUAGGAAGGAAUGGCAUUGAAAAUCUACAUGUUGGGACAGAUAUAAUUGAAUUAUUAAAAGCUGUACACAUAGGGAUUCCAUUAUUACAUUUCCACACAUACAUAUAAUGUCCUCUGAUCAUACUUACCCUCCCUACUUCCCUUUCUUAUUCCCCAUCCCCCCACCUUUCCACAUCCCUAAAUGCUUUUACUGUCAUGUCCUAGUAUUGCGCCCACCUAGAUUCCACAUUAGACAGCAAACAUCUGAAACUUGUCUGUCUGCAUCUGAGUUAUUUCAUUAACGAUGAUGAUCUCCAGCUCCAACCCUUUUCCUGCAAACAACAUAAUUCCAUUCUCUUUUAUGAUCGCAUAAAACUUCAUUGUGUAUAUAUAACACAUUUUCUUUGUCUGUUCUUCUAUUGGUGGGCACCUAGGCAGAUUCUACAUUCUGGCUAUUGUGGAUAGUGCUAUCAUGGACAUGAAUAUGCUGCUGUUCCUAUAGUAAACUGAUGUUGCUUCCUUGGGACAUAAACACAGGGGUAAUACAGCUGGAAUAUGGAUCAUACACUGCGGCUGGACUAAUUUACAUGUUCACCUGCAGCCGGGGCUCCUUUUCACCCAGUUCCUCAUCAGCGUUUGUUGUUUGUUCACUCUUUCUGCUUCCUUCCUUCCUUCCUUCCUUCCUUCCUUCCUUCCUUCCUUCCUUCCUCUCUUCUUUCAUUUCUUCCUUCCUUCUUCCCUUCCUUUUUUAUAAUAGCCAUCCUGACUCAGGAGAGAUGGAAUUAGUUUUUAAUCACAUUUAAUUAUUUUAUUUUAGUAUGUGUGUAAUUUGCCUGCAUGUAUGUCUGUGCAUCACAUACAUGCUUGGUGUCCAAGGAGGCCUGCAGGGGGCAUUGGAUCCCCUAGAACUGGAGUGAUAAAUGAAUUUGAGCUACCAAGUGUUGGGAAUUGAACCCAGGUCCUCUGGAAGAGCAGCCAGUGUGCUCUUACCUGCUGUGCCAUCUCUCCACCUGAUCUUAAUGCAUUUUAUGUACAUUUCACUGACAGCUAAGAUUUUGAUAUAUAUUUAUUAACUUUUCUUUCAGUGAGAUAAAGUCUCACUAUGUAGCCCGGGCUGGCCUUGACUUCCUUCAGUAGAUCAGGUUGGCCUCGGACUCACAGGGAUCUUCCUGCCUCUGAUCCUCAACAUCUGGAAUUAGAGGUAUGAGCAAACACAUCUGGCUAUUUCAAUUUUUAAAGAAACAUUUAGUGGAG
Molecule: long non-coding RNA, 5431 nt
Organism: Mesocricetus auratus (golden hamster)
Lineage: Eukaryota; Metazoa; Chordata; Mammalia; Rodentia; Cricetidae
Exons: 4
Source: RefSeq, a predicted model, not a curated record